ACAAAACAAAUUAGUGUCGUUAUCAUAAUGUUAUAUAUAUUUGUAGGUAUAUCCUACAUCUAUUCGGGCUUCUGGUCUCGGGUCAUGUUCGGCAUGUGCUCGUGUGGGCGCAAUGAUCACACCUUUCCUAGCACAGGUAUUAUUGGAUGCCUCACUGACAGCGGCAGUUUGGGUUUAUGCCUCAAUUUGUUUGUGUUGUGCAAUUACAUCAACUUUGUUACCAAUAGAAACUAAAGGGAGAGCAUUAAAGCAAGUGGUGACUUGACACACUGGCAACACGUCAAUUGAUGGUUUUACUCGUACUGAAACUGGACGGUGCUGGACGGUGCUUAGCUUGACCGUGUGUUCAUCUUUGCAGCACUACUUGAUAAUAAGACAUUGAUAAUGAUGAAAUCAUUUAAAACUUUAAUCAAACAGUUAUUAUUAUAUCAUUAUAAUUUGAAGACAACAGAAGUAAUUGUCUAUAUUAUGUUAUUUCAUUUCAUUCUACAUGUGAUAACAUUUGAAAGGAUAUUUAUGUAUUUAUUUUAGCUCUAUGGCUGAAAUAAAUUUGUGUGCUGUAA
Molecule: long non-coding RNA, 563 nt
Organism: Ruditapes philippinarum (Manila clam)
Lineage: Eukaryota; Metazoa; Mollusca; Bivalvia; Venerida; Veneridae
Exons: 3
Source: RefSeq, a predicted model, not a curated record